UUUCAUCUAUCUGAAGUCAGACACUUGUUGAUCUGCUACUCUCAGGUUGUUUCAGCAUGGACGCUAAUUUCAGGGUUCUGUGGGAUAAAGAAAACAAAAUCAUUUUGCUUCCCUUUUUUCAGGGCUCUCGCCUAUUCUUCAGAAGCCGUUAAGGUGCCUUCCCUGUGAUUUAGAGAAUUGACCACAAGAGAAGACUCCCUUUCAAACUCUUCAUUCUCUGGUUCAGAGGUUUGAUGUAAUGGUUGUCUCAUCGUACAUGGUCAGCCACAGGAUAUACUUCAUCCAUUUCAGAGCUGUACUCCUGAGUUCCAUGCUAUAAUCAGAAAUAUGUGGCACAUUUUGAACAAAGGAAAUAUAUACCCAACAAAGUGUUAAAAUGGAGCUGCCAACCAGACAAACCCUAGAAAUAUGUAGCCACUUACAGGCAGAACACAACUACAUGUGUUCCCAAUGUGGAAGGCAUUCCGGAAGUGUAUGCAUCCACAUUUCUACAUGAGGCAUCGCCUAUGCAGGCAAUCAAAGGAUGUUGAUGGAUAAGUGUUUCAGGCAGAAUAAUGGCCCUCAAAGAUGUUGACACCAGAAUCUUCAGAACCUUUGCAUAUGUUACCUAACAUGACAAAAGGGACUUUGCUGAUGUGAUUAAGGUUAAGAACUUUGAGAAGGGAAGAUUAUCCUGGAUUAUACAGGUCGACGUUUAUUUCUUUCUGAACUUUCCUGGAGGAUCAUCGGCCAUACUCCAGCAGAAGGGUGGAUUUGAAAAAAUAACGUUUCCACGGCAACAGUGGCAGCAAUUCACAAAGCCCAGAGUCUUCCCUGGAGAAGAGUGCUGAUGACGAGGAUUCAUGUCUCACAACCCAGCACACAGGAAUGAUGUCACACAGAAUUUGACUUGGGGAAGAAGAAGAAAAGAAGGUGGAUUUCAGCAUGAAAGAAUCUAAACAGUCAUUAGUGAACAAAUGUGUAGCAGUGCUGUCCAACAGAACUUUCUGAAGAAGUAAUGGGAAUACUCUGUAUCUGUGAUGUCCUGUAUGGUAGCCACUGGCCUCACACAGCUCUUGAGCACUUGAAAUGUGGCUACUGUGACUGAGUAAUUGAGUUUUAAAAUUUCAUCAAUUUUAAUUAAUUGAAAUUUAAAUAGCCACAUGAGGCCAGUGACUACAGAAUUGAACAGCACAGGUCUCACAGAUGGACUAAGAGUAAGCCAGUUACGAAGAAGCUUAUACAGGAAGACCGGCUAAAAUAUGUCAAAGGAGAGUUUCUCUUUCUGAACUCCGAGGAGCUGUUCAAAUAAGACUGGUCUGGAGAGAGUUUUGGGUGGCUGGAGGUAUUUUCACCCCUCCACUUACUGUGCCUAACCUUAGUAUUGUUGCCAUUCUCACGUUUCUGUAUGACUCCAUCUCCCUUGUUCUGUUCCGAUGCCGCUUUUUCAGUUUUUCUGAGCUCUCAAUUAAACACAGUGAAAUGAAUCUCCUCCAAGUGCCUUUUUAGUGACUAAACUGAAUAGUUGGCUCAGAAUGCUACAAAGUCCUCUCCCUCAGGAAGAACCAAGUUUUACCAUUAAGAUCCUGAUAGAUUUACCAGCUUUAACUGACACCUCUUGGGGUGGCUUCCAGAUUCACACUUUCUCCUUUUUGAGAAGACUCCCAGACACACGGGGAUAGGUCCUGAGUGAUCAUAUUUGAGCCACACAAUCUUGUUACGCUUGCUGUAGAUCCAUGGUUCAAAAACAUUCAAGUGUGUCUGACUCAGCUGGAGGACUUGUGAAGACACAUGUGGUGGGACCCAUCCCUAAAGCUUCUUUUCCAGUAGGUGUGUAGGUGUGGCCCAAGUAUCUGCAUAUCUAACAAGUUCUCAGGUGAUACUGAUGUUGCUGGUCUGGGGAUUGUACUUUAAGAUAAUUAAGUCAGGGACUGUUGCCUGACAUAGGACAAUAAGCUUCUCUCAGGAAUUUGAAAUUUGGAACAAAGAGCUCGGAGUCUUAGUGCUAGUAGACCAGUGCUCUGGAGAGGUCUGAAAACUACCACUGCUUAGGUUCCUAGUUUGUCCAGUUCCUGUUUGUCUUGAGCCUUGGUUGUCUAAUCCUUUGAAUAAAUCCCAUUACAUUCUUUGUUUUGCAUAAACUGGCCAUAGAAAGUUCUUGUUGUCUGCCC
Molecule: long non-coding RNA, 2150 nt
Filed under: Homo sapiens (human)
Lineage: Eukaryota; Metazoa; Chordata; Mammalia; Primates; Hominidae
Description: HSALNT0211710
Source: RNAcentral